UACGUAGGUGGCAAGCGUUAUCCGGAUUUAUUGGGCGUAAAGGGAACGCAGGCGGUCUUUUAAGUCUGAUGUGAAAGCCUUCGGCUUAACCGGAGUAGUGCAUUGGAAACUGGGAGACUUGAGUGCAGAAGAGGAGAGUGGAACUCCAUGUGUAGCGGUGAAAUGCGAAGAUAUAUGGAAGAACACCAGUGGCGAAAGCGGCUCUCUGGUCUGUAACUGACGCUGAGGUUCGAAAGCGUGGGUAGCAAACAGG
Molecule: ribosomal RNA, 253 nt
Filed under: uncultured bacterium
Lineage: Bacteria
Description: partial 16S ribosomal RNA
Rfam family: Bacterial small subunit ribosomal RNA
Source: RNAcentral